CCUACGGGAGGCAGCAGUGAGGAAUAUUGGUCAAUGGGCGCGAGCCUGAACCAGCCAAGUCGCGUGAGGGAAGACGGCCCUACGGGUUGUAAACCUCUUUUGCCGGGGAGCAACGGGCGCCACGUGUGGCGCCACUGAGAGUACCCGGAGAAAAAGCAUCGGCUAACUCCGUGCCAGCAGCCGCGGUAAUACGGAGGAUGCGAGCGGUAUUCGGUUUUAGUGGGUUUAAAGGGUGCGUAGGCGGAGCGUUAAGGCAGGGGUCAAAUUGAGGGGCUCAACCCCUUCCCGCCAUUGAAACUGGCGCUCUUGAGUGGAAGAGAAGUAUGCGGAAUGCGUGGUGUAGCGGUGAAAUGCAUAGAUAUCACGCAGAACCCCGAUUGCGAAGGCAGCAUGCCGGCUUCCUACUGACGCUGAAGCACGAAAGCGUGGGGAUCGAACAGGAUUAGAUACCCCAGUAGUC
Molecule: ribosomal RNA, 460 nt
Filed under: uncultured bacterium
Lineage: Bacteria
Description: partial 16S ribosomal RNA
Rfam family: Bacterial small subunit ribosomal RNA
Source: RNAcentral